CCCGGCCUAACCCGUCCACCCCAUGUGAAUUUCAACCGAGCGUUGCUUCGGCGGGUCCCCCGCCCGUAGUUCCCCUGUGGACGCGGGGGGGCUUUUCCCGUCGAUAGCCCCAAAGUCGAACCUGCGCGCAUUGCACUGAAAUGGCGUCUGAGCCAGUGACAAAUUAAUCACGAAAAACUUUCAACAACGGAUCUCUUGGUUCCGGCAUCGAUGAAGAACGCAGCGAAAUGCGAUAAAUAAUGCGAAUUGCAGAAUUCAGUGAGUCAUCGAGUUUUUGAACGCACAUUGCGCCUUCUGGAAUUCCAGAGGGCAUAUCUGUUCGAGCGUCAUUGCAUCUUCGUUCCAGCGGCUAGCUGGGUAGUUGGGCGCUGUCGUCGCGGUGGCCGCGACACGCCUGAAAGUCAUUGUCGACCCCCGUGGGGCUUGGAGCGCAGUAAAACCUUUUUUCGCUCGUUCGAGCUUAUGUUAAACCACGGUCUGGUCCACGCCCCGGACCCCCCCGUAUCCUGGGUGGGGUCCGGGCAGUACAGCAGCGAUUGACCUCGGAUCAGGUAAGGAUACCCGCUGAACUUAAGC
RNAcentral lists this ribosomal RNA (576 nucleotides) under Coccocarpia pellita. RNAcentral's name for it is "eukaryotic LSU rRNA". The stretch from base 176 to 329 matches the Rfam family "5.8S ribosomal RNA". The record is from RNAcentral. Lineage: Eukaryota; Fungi; Ascomycota; Lecanoromycetes; Peltigerales; Coccocarpiaceae.